ACGGAAUAGAUACCCUGGUAGUCCACGCCCUAAACGAUGUCUACUAGUUGUUGGUGGAGUAAAAUCCAUGAGUAAACGCAGCUAAACGCGUGAAGUAGACCGCCUGGGGAGUACGGUCGCAAGAUUAAAACUCAAAUGAAUUGACGGGGGCCCGCACAAGCGGUGGAUUAUGUGGAUUAAUUCGAUGCAACGCGAAAAACCUUACCUGGCCUUGACAUGUAACGAACUUUCCAGAGAUGGAUUGGUGCUCGAAAGAGAACGUUAACACAGGUGCUGCAUGGCUGUCGUCAGCUCGUGUCGUGAGAUGUUGGGUUAAAGUCCCGCAACGAGCGCAACCCUUGCCAUUAAUUGCCAUCAUUUAGUUGGGCACUUUAAUGGGACUGCCGGUGACAAACCGGAGGAAGGUGGGGAUGACGUCAAGUCCUCAUGGCCCUUAUGGCCAGGGCUUCACACGUAAUACAAUGGUCGGUACAGAGGGUUGCCAACCCGCGAGGGGAGCCAAUCCCAGAAAGCCGAUCGUAGUCCGGAUUGUAGUCCGCAACUCGACUAC
Molecule: ribosomal RNA, 550 nt
Filed under: uncultured bacterium
Lineage: Bacteria
Description: bacterial SSU rRNA
Rfam family: Bacterial small subunit ribosomal RNA
Source: RNAcentral